This 301-nucleotide ribosomal RNA is filed under the name uncultured bacterium. RNAcentral describes it as "partial 16S ribosomal RNA". It matches the Rfam family "Bacterial small subunit ribosomal RNA", at positions 509 to 807 of the family's 1533-position model. The record is from RNAcentral.
CAGUAGCCGCGGUAACACAGAGGGUGCGAGCGUUAAUCGGAUUUACUGGGCGUAAAGCGUGCGUAGGCGGCUUCUUAAGUCGGAUGUGAAAUCCCUGAGCUUAACUUAGGAAUUGCAUUCGAUACUGGGAAGCUAGAGUAUGGGAGAGGAUGGUAGAAUUCCAGGUGUAGCGGUGAAAUGCGUAGAGAUCUGGAGGAAUACCGAUGGCGAAGGCAGCCAUCUGGCCUAAUACUGACGCUGAGGUACGAAAGCAUGGGGAGCAAACAGGAUUAGAUACCCGCGUAGUCCCUGUCUCUUAUAC